This 497-nucleotide ribosomal RNA is filed under the name uncultured bacterium. RNAcentral describes it as "partial 16S ribosomal RNA". It matches the Rfam family "Bacterial small subunit ribosomal RNA", at positions 28 to 507 of the family's 1533-position model. The record is from RNAcentral.
GAUGAACGCUGGCGGCGUGCCUAAUACAUGCAAGUCGAGCGAACAGACGAGGAGCUUGCUCCUCUGACGUUAGCGGCGGACGGGUGAGUAACACGUGGAUAACCUACCUAUAAGACUGGGAUAACUUCGGGAAACCGGAGCUAAUACCGGAUAAUAUAUUGAACCGCAUGGUUCAAUAGUGAAAGACGGUUUUGCUGUCACUUAUAGAUGGAUCCGCGCCGCAUUAGCUAGUUGGUAAGGUAACGGCUUACCAAGGCAACGAUGCGUAGCCGACCUGAGAGGGUGAUUGGCCACACUGGAACUGAGACACGGUCCAGACUCCUACGGGAGGCAGGAGUAGGGAAUCUUCCGCAAUGGGCGAAAGCCUGACGGAGCAACGCCGCGUGAGGGAUGAAGGUCUUCGGAUCGUAAAACUCUGUUAUUAGGGAAGAACAAAUGUGUAAGUAACUAUGCACGUCUUGACGGUACCUAAUCAGAAAGCCACGGCUAACUACGUG